GGCGCGCAAAUUACCCACUCCCGGCACGGGGAGGUAGUGACGAAAAAUAACGAUACGGGACUCAUCCGAGGCCCCGUAAUCGGAAUGAGAACAAUUUAAAUCCUUUAACGAGGAUCAAUUGGAGGGCAAGUCUGGUGCCAGCAGCCGCGGUAAUUCCAGCUCCAAUAGCGUAUAUUAAAGUUGUUGCGGUUAAAAAGCUCGUAGUCGAAUCUGUGUCCCGCUCCGCCGGUUCGUCGCUCGCGGCGUUUAACUGGCGUGUCAGCGGGACGUCCUGCCGGUGGGCUUAGCUCUUUCACGAGGGCGGCCCAAUCUUAAUCCCGCCGCGGUGCUCUUCACCGAGUGUCGAGGCGGGCCGGCACGUUUACUUUGAACAAAUUAGAGUGCUUAAAGCAGGCUAAAACUUCGCCUGAAUACUUCGUGCAUGGAAUAAUGGAAUAGGACCUCGGUUCUAUUUUGUUGGUUUUCGGAACUCCGAGGUAAUGAUUAAUAGGAACGGAUGGGGGCAUUCGUAUUGCGACGUUAGAGGUGAAAUUCUUGGAUCGUCGCAAGACGGACAGAAGCGAAAGCAUUUGCCAAAAACGUUUUCAUUGAUCAAGAACGAAAGUUAGAGGUUCGAAGGCGAUCAGAUACCGCCCUAGUUCUAACCAUAAACGAUGCCAGCUAGCGAUCCGCCGACGUUCCUCCGAUGACUCGGCGGGCAGCUUCCGGGAAACCAAAGCUUUUGGGUUCCGGGGGAAGUAUGGUUGCAAAGCUGAAACUUAAAGGAAUUGACGGAAGGGCACCACCAGGAGUGGAGCCUGCGGCUUAAUUUGACUCAACACGGGAAACCUCACCAGGCCCGGACACCGGAAGGAUUGACAGAUUGAGAGCUCUUUCUUGAUUCGGUGGGUGGUGGUGCAUGGCCGUUCUUAGUUGGUGGAGCGAUUUGUCUGGUUAAUUCCGAUAACGAACGAGACUCUGGCCUGCUAACUAGGCGUAUUUCCGACAUCUCGAAGGCCCGCCGGCUCGGCGUGCUCGUCACGCCUUGUCGCGCGCGGUUUUUACUGUCGGCGUACAAACAAUUCUUCUUAGAGGGACAGGCGGCUUCUAGCCGCACGAGAUAGAGCAAUAACAGGUCUGUGAUGCCCUUAGAUGUUCUGGGCCGCACGCGCGCUACACUGAAGGAAUCAGCGUGUCCUCCCUGGCCGAGCGGCCCGGGUAACCCGCUGAACCUCCUUCGUGCUAGGGAUUGGGGCUUGAAAUUGUUCCCCAUGAACGAGGAAUUCCCAGUAAGCGCGAGUCAUAAGCUCGCGUUGAUUACGUCCCUGCCCUUUGUACACACCGCCCGUCGCUACUACCGAUUGAAUGAUUUAGUGAGGUCUUCGGACCGGCACGCGGUGGCGUUUCGACGUCGCCGAUGCUGCUGGAAAGAUGACCAAACUUGAUCAUUU
This 1430-nucleotide ribosomal RNA is filed under the name Xylobanus sp. UPOL MD0036. Its description in RNAcentral is "SSU rRNA". It matches the Rfam family "Eukaryotic small subunit ribosomal RNA", at positions 431 to 1774 of the family's 1831-position model. The record is from RNAcentral. Lineage: Eukaryota; Metazoa; Arthropoda; Insecta; Coleoptera; Lycidae.